AGAAUCAACGCUGGCGGCGUGCCUAACACAUGCAAGUCGAACGAGAAAGUGGAGCAAUCCAUGAGUAAAGUGGCGCACGGGUGAGUAACACGUGACUAACCUACCCUUGAGUGGGGGAUAACCUAGGGAAACCUGGGCUAAUACCGACAUAAUACCUUCGGGUCAAAGGAGCAAUUCGCUUAAGGAGGGGGUCGCGGCCGAUUAGUUAGUUGGCGGGUAAUGGCCCACCAAGACUAUGAUCGGUAU
This 246-nucleotide ribosomal RNA is filed under the name uncultured bacterium. RNAcentral's name for it is "partial small subunit ribosomal RNA". It matches the Rfam family "Bacterial small subunit ribosomal RNA", at positions 26 to 286 of the family's 1533-position model. The record is from RNAcentral.